GCGGGAAUAGCUCAGUUGGUAGAGCAUAACCUUGCCAAGGUUGUGGUCGCGAGUUCGAGUCUCGUUUCCCGCUCCA
Molecule: transfer RNA, 76 nt
Filed under: Acinetobacter baumannii 25493_8
Lineage: Bacteria; Pseudomonadati; Pseudomonadota; Gammaproteobacteria; Moraxellales; Moraxellaceae
Description: tRNA-Gly
Rfam family: tRNA
About the family: Transfer RNA (tRNA) molecules are approximately 80 nucleotides in length. Their secondary structure includes four short double-helical elements and three loops (D, anti-codon, and T loops).
Source: RNAcentral